Molecule: unclassified non-coding RNA, 1824 nt
Filed under: Hevea brasiliensis (rubber tree)
Lineage: Eukaryota; Viridiplantae; Streptophyta; Magnoliopsida; Malpighiales; Euphorbiaceae
Source: RNAcentral
UGUUUUCCUCUAUAAGUAUCAGUCACCACUUCGGUUUCCAGUCAUUCCAAGUCCCACCUCUUCAAUCACAACAAGAAACCAAGAAAUGGAAACUCCUGUUUGGGUUGCCUACGCAACUGCCUGGGUUGCCACCGUAGCUUUGAUCCUCCUCUCCCGCCGUCCCCGCAGCCGUAAAUUUAACCUGCCACCAGGUCCAAAAUCUUGGCCCAUAAUCGGAAACCUCAAUCUUAUAGGCUCACUCCCCCACCGCUCCGUCCACGCCCUCUCCCAAAAAUAUGGUCCCAUUAUGCAACUCAAAUUCGGGUCUUUCCCGGUGGUUGUAGGCUCCUCCGUUGAAAUGGCCAAAACCAUCCUUAAAACCCAUGAUCUCAGCUUCGUCGGCCGGCCAAAAACCGCCGCCGGCAAGUACACAACCUAUAAUUACAAAGACAUCACAUGGUCACCCUAUGGAACCUAUUGGCGACAAGCACGUAAAAUCUGCGUAAUGGAGCUUUUCAGUGCAAAACGCCUAGAAUCAUACGAGUAUAUACGUGCAGAAGAGCUAAGAUCACUCCUUAGAAACUUGUUCUCGUCGAUUGGCAACCCCAUUAACGUGAAAGAUCAUCUCUCAGAUCUUAGUCUGAACGUGAUAAGCCGAAUGGUAUUGGGAAAGAAGUACACAGUGAAGAUCGAAGGUGAAAAUGAGAUUGUGACGCCGGAGGAGUUCAAGGAGAUGCUGGAUGAGCUUUUCUUGCUUAAUGGGGUGUUGGAUAUAGGGGAUUCGAUCCCUUGGCUUGCUUUCUUGGAUUUACAGGGGUAUAUAAAGAGAAUGAAAACUUUGAACAAAAAAUUUAACAGGUUCUUGGAGCAUGUUUUGGAUGAACAUGAUGCGAGGAGAAAAGGGGUUGAGAAUUAUGUGGCCAAAGAUAUGGUGGAUGUUCUUCUGCAGCUCGCUGAUGAUCCUACUCUUGAGGUUAAGCUUGAAAGAAAUGGAGUCAAGGGAUUCACACAGGACUUGAUCGCUGGAGGGACAGAGAGCUCGGCAGUAACAGUAGAGUGGGCACUUUCCGAGCUCUUGAGAAAGCCAGAGAUUUUUGAGAAGGCAACAGAAGAGCUAGACAGGGUGAUUGGAAGAGAAAGAUGGGUAGAAGAGAAAGACAUUGUUAAUUUACCAUUUAUUGAUGCAAUUGCUAAGGAGACUAUGCGUUUGCACCCUGUGGCACCUAUGUUGGUUCCAAGACUCUGUCGUGAAGAUACCAAAAUAGCUGGUUAUGACAUUCUUGAAGGCACUCGUAUCCUUGUCAACGUGUGGACUAUAGGGAGGGACCCUAGCAUUUGGGAUAACCCUAAUGAGUUUUGCCCUGAAAGGUUCCUUGGUAAAGGAAUUGAUGUUAAAGGGCAAGAUUUUGAGCUAUUGCCAUUUGGUGCUGGAAGGAGAAUGUGCCCUGGGUAUCCUCUAGGAAUCAAGGUGAUUCAAACAAGUUUAGCAAAUCUUUUGCAUGGAUUUAAGUGGAAAUUGCCAGGAGACAUGAAGAAAGAGGACUUAAACAUGGAGGAAAUUUUUGGGCUUUCAACUCCAAGAAAAUUCCCACUUCUUGUUGUUGCUGAACCUCGUCUCCCAUCACAUGUUUACUCUCUGUGAUUUUUGUUUGGUUUCAUUUUCCCAUUUGUUUCCCCCUUGUCAGGGUUUUAUCACUAAGCAGAUGAAUCAUCAAAUAAUUAUCUCGUAUGUCUGGAGUGUAGCCAAUGAAAAGUUCAUUAGUAGUAGUUUUUGUUUUAUCGUUAAUGGAAUAUAUAUAUACUACAGUAUUUUAAUAGUCUUUUUCAAGUUAUUUCUAUUCUUUU